This 706-nucleotide ribosomal RNA is filed under the name uncultured bacterium. Its description in RNAcentral is "bacterial SSU rRNA". It matches the Rfam family "Bacterial small subunit ribosomal RNA", at positions 73 to 811 of the family's 1533-position model. The record is from RNAcentral.
AGGGUAGCAAUACCUGAGUACAGUGGCGCACGGGUGAGUAACACGUGAAUCAUCUACCUUCGAGUGGGGAAUAACUGGGAGAAAUCUCAGCUAAUACCGCAUAAUACCUACGGGUCAAAGCAGCAAUGCGCUUGAAGAGGAGUUCGCGGCAGAUUAGUUAGUUGGCGGGGUAAUGGCCCACCAAGACGAUGAUCUAUAUCCGGCCUGAGAGGGCGCACGGACACACUGGAACUGAAACACGGUCCAGACUCCUACGGGAGGCAGCAGUGGGGAAUUUUGCGCAAUGGGGGAAACCCUGACGCAGCAACGCCGCGUGGAGGAUGAAAUCCCUUGGGAUGUAAACUCCUUUCGAUUGGGAAGAUUAUGACGGUACCAAUAGAAGAAGCCCCGGCUAACUUCGUGCCAGCAGCCGCGGUAAUACGAGGGGGGCAAGCGUUGUUCGGAAUUAUUGGGCGUAAAGGGCGCGUAGGCGGUUUGACAAGUCUUAUGUGAAAUCUCUGGGCUCAACCCAGAGUCUGCAUGGGAAACUGUCGGGCUUGAGUAUGGGAGAGGUGAGUGGAAUUUCCGGUGUAGCGGUGAAAUGCGUAGAUAUCGGAAGGAACACCUGUGGCGAAAGCGGCUCACUGGACCAUAACUGACGCUGAGGCGCGAAAGCUAGGGGAGCAAACAGGAUUAGAUACCCUGGUAGUCCUAGCCCUAAACGAUG